This 323-nucleotide unclassified non-coding RNA is filed under the name soil metagenome. Its description in RNAcentral is "partial contains 5.8S ribosomal RNA, internal transcribed spacer 2, and large subunit ribosomal RNA". The stretch from base 1 to 120 matches the Rfam family "5.8S ribosomal RNA", at positions 35 to 154 of the family's 154-position model. The record is from RNAcentral.
GAUGAAGAACGUAGCGAAAUGCGAUAAGUAAUGCGAAUUGCAGAAUUCAGUGAGUCAUCGAAUCUUUGAACGCACAUUGCGCCCUGUGGUAUUCCGCAGGGCAUGCCUGUUCGAGCGUCAUUUCAACCCUCAAGCUCUGCUUGGUGUUGGGCCCUGCCCGCUGCGGCCGGCCCUAAAGACAGUGGCGGUGCCGCCUGGCCCUGAGCGUAGUACAUCUUUCGCUCCAGUGCCCGGUGGUAGCCUGCCAGAACCCCAACUCUCGUGGUCGACCUCGGAUCAGGUAGGGAUACCCGCUGAACUUAAGCAUAUCAAUAAGCGGAGGA